UAUAUAACUACAUGGAACUAUACAUAACUACAGUUAUCUAUACGACUAAAUUUGACUCAAAUCGCACUUGUCAACACGAGAACCGCUUGUUUUGAACAACGAACACAAUCCACUCCGCAAAAACUUACUACAUAGUAGUUCAAACACCAAGACCUGUGAAAACGAAAAAGAGUUAAACAAACAAUGAAUUUUGCUUCAAAUUUAAAUGUGCACACACGCACUAUUACCUACUGGUAUACAUAGAUACUCCCCAAUAACUCAUACAUGACUACAUAGUUUAUAUAUAACUAUACAUUACUACAUGUGACUACACCAUAUAUUACUGUAUGUUACUACACAUGACUAUAUAUGACUACAUGUAUAUGACCACAUGUGACUAUAUACAUGUAUGUGACUUUAUAUGUCCCUUCAAGUACCUGACUUUGUUCUCCAGGCGAUACGAGACAACUUAUAUUAUCAAAAUCAAAUUACAAACAGAGUAUGCUAGUCAUUAUUCUUCGUAUAACCAAAGGUCAAAGAUCAAAGCAAGUUGAAGUGGAACACCAUAGAUAAAAUAAUAGUUAAAACACACGUAAAGUAGUCACCUAUUUCAUUCUCGAUAAAUAAAAUAUCAAUAUCAUAUUACUAACAAAAUAUUCUCAUCACGAAUCUACAUAUACUCCCAAGUAUAAAAACAAAAGUAAACAAAUCAUUUCAGGACCAAUAAACAGUGAUUCAAUAUAUUAAGAAACAGAUUAAAAUUCAUUACCGUUUCUAUGCCUUCAAUGGAUGAACAGUCAGUUUUGUCGCACCACCACCAGGAACAAGUUUCGAGUUUUUUUUUAUUAUAUUUCUUGCCACAACAAUCGCGUUUUAUGUACAAGUCGACUCCUAAAAUUAAACUCACAGCUUCACAAAAAAAAAAAAAAAAAAAAAUUAAAACCAAAACUCAAAAAAUAACUGCAAAAUUCGAUGAUGGCUGUACAAAAAAUACUUUGGUGAACUCAAAAAAUACCUGC
RNAcentral lists this long non-coding RNA (998 nucleotides) under Erythranthe guttata (spotted monkey flower). RNAcentral describes it as "long non-coding RNA (EGUT_LNC001320)". The record is from RNAcentral. Lineage: Eukaryota; Viridiplantae; Streptophyta; Magnoliopsida; Lamiales; Phrymaceae.